Long non-coding RNA from Haliotis rubra (blacklip abalone), 675 nucleotides. RefSeq lists it as uncharacterized. Lineage: Eukaryota; Metazoa; Mollusca; Gastropoda; Lepetellida; Haliotidae. The record is from RefSeq and is a predicted model, not a curated record. The transcript is spliced from 3 exons.
GGUAAACUAGCCAUAUCAGUAUAACCAGUACUUUAGCCAUAUCAAUAUAACCAGUAGUCUAGCCAUAUCAAUAUAACCAGUAGACGAGCCAUAUCAGUACAACCAGUGGUCUAGCCAUAUCAGUAUAACCGUUAGUCUAGCCAUAUCAGUACAACCGGUAGUCUAGCCAUAUCAGUAUAACCGGUAGACUAGCCAUAUCAGUAUAACCGGUAGUCUAGCCAUAUCAGUAUAACCGGUGGUCCAGCCAUAUCAGUAUAACCGGUAGUUUAGCAAUAUCAGUAUAACCAGUAGUCCAGCCAUAUCAGUAUAACCAGUAGUAUAGCCAUAUCAGUAUAACUGGUAGUCGAGCCAUAUCAGUAUAACUGGUAGUCUAACCAUAUCAGUAUAACUGGCAGUAUAGCCAUAUCAGUAUAACAGGUAGUCUAGCCAUAUCAGUAUAACCGAUAGUAUAGUCAUAUCAGCAUAACUGGUAGUAUAGCCAUAUAAGUAUAACCAGUAGUUAAGCCAUAUCAGUAUAACCGGUGGUCUAGCAAUACCAGUAUAACCGGUAGUUUAGCCAUAUCAGUAUAACCGGUGGUCUAGCAAUAUCAGUAUAACCGGUAGUUAAGCCAUAUCAGUAUAACCAGUAGUAUAGAUAUAUCAGUAUAACCAGUAGUCUAGCCAUAUCAGUAUAAC